Molecule: ribosomal RNA, 551 nt
Filed under: uncultured Glomeromycotina
Lineage: Eukaryota; Fungi; Glomeromycota
Description: SSU rRNA
Rfam family: Eukaryotic small subunit ribosomal RNA
Source: RNAcentral
UUGGAGGGCAAGUCUGGUGCCAGCAGCCGCGGUAAUUCCAGCUCCAAUAGCGUAUAUUAAAGUUGUUGCAGUUAAAAAGCUCGUAGUUGAACUUCGGGGUCUACCCAUUGGUCAGGCUUAAUUGUCUGUACUGGUGAGAUGGAUCUCUACCUUCUGAGGAACUUUCAUGCCAUUUAUUUGGUGUGGUUGGAAAUCAGGACUGUUACUUUGAAAAAAUUAGAGUGUUUAAAGCAGACUAUCGUCUGAAUACAUUAGCAUGGAAUAAUGAAAUAGGACGGACUGAUUCUAUUUCGUUGGUUUCUAGGAUCACCGUAAUGAUUAAUAGGGAUAGUUGGGGGCAUUAGUAUUCAAUUGUCAGAGGUGAAAUUCUUGGAUUUAUUGCAGACUAACUACUGCGAAAGCAUUUGCCAAGGAUGUUUUCAUUAAUCAAGAACGAAAGUUAGGGAAUCGAAGACGAUCAGAUACCGUCGUAGUCUUAACCAUAAACUAUGCCGACUAGGGAUCGGACGAAGUUAAUUUUAUAAUGACGCGUUCGGCGCCUUACGGGAAAC